CAAUGCUAUAGUCUAGUCUUGCAGGUUUCAUGGACCCAAACUCUGCUUGCUCUCUGAGGUGAAUGUUUUGGAUAUCCUUCCCUCAGAUGUGGACGAAGGGAUCGGAGUAUCCCAAGAGUUUCCUACUUGAGUCUCUGUGGGAAGUUCUGUAGAGUCAGAGAAACAAUAUACAGAGCCACUAUCUGCAAGGUGGAAAAAGAAGCCAAGUACCAUUUUCAAGAACUUCAGCUUAUCAUUGAAGAAGUCACAUGCUGAGUGAGCCGAAAAUUCUAUUAAUUAGUUACACACUAGUUGCCUAGAGGCAGUGAAAAUGCUGGAUCUCUGCACUGAGAUCAUGAGUCUGAUGAGACAAUCUGCAGAGAAGGGCAAUGGGAAAAGGAAGACACUGUGUCACUGAUGACAAUGAAAACUCCACACUGCUGGAUAUUUAUUAAAGAUAAUUUAAAAUGGCU
Molecule: long non-coding RNA, 452 nt
Filed under: Capra hircus (goat)
Lineage: Eukaryota; Metazoa; Chordata; Mammalia; Artiodactyla; Bovidae
Description: lncRNA (ENSCHIG00000006330.1)
Source: RNAcentral